RNAcentral lists this unclassified non-coding RNA (361 nucleotides) under uncultured Gammaproteobacteria bacterium. RNAcentral describes it as "contains 16S-23S intergenic spacer region". The record is from RNAcentral. Lineage: Bacteria; Pseudomonadati; Pseudomonadota; Gammaproteobacteria.
UCCCUGUUACCAGGGCAGUCUAGCUAGAGAAAUUCAACUAACUAUAAGGGUUGCGCUCGUUGAUGGACUUAACCAAACAUCUCACGACACGAGCUGAAGACGGCCAUGCAGCACCUGUCUCUCGGUUCCCGAAGGCACCAAGUCAUCUCUGACAAGUUCCGAGGAUGUCAAGACCAGGUAAGGUUUUUCGCGUUGCAUCGAAUUAAUCCACAUAAUCCACCGCUUGUGCGGGUCCCCGUCAAUUCCUUUGAGUUUUAACCUUGCGGCCGUACUCCCCAGGCGGUCAACUUCACACGUUAGCUUCGUUACCAAGGAAUUGCUUCCCCGACAACCAGUUGACAUAGUUUAGGGCGUGGACUAC